This 74-nucleotide transfer RNA is filed under the name Apaloderma vittatum (bar-tailed trogon). It matches the Rfam family "tRNA". Rfam says of the family: Transfer RNA (tRNA) molecules are approximately 80 nucleotides in length. The record is from Rfam by way of RNAcentral. Lineage: Eukaryota; Metazoa; Chordata; Aves; Trogoniformes; Trogonidae.
GGCCAGUUAGCUCAGUUGGUUGGAGCGUGGUGCUGCUAACACCAAGGCUGCGGGUUCAACUCCCGUUCGAUCCC